UUUUGUGGUGUUCAUCUAUAUUUAAAUGAAGGAUACGAAUCAUCAUUGUAAUGGCAACUUUAGCUGUCAGGGAUCCUGUUGCAGCUCUGCCUCAGCCAGUCUGUGCACAGAGCAUGGAGCACCAGGGCCAUGGAGCAUGUGGGCUAUGGAAUCGGGUUGCCUAUUUUCAUCUUGACUCCAUCACUUGCUGGGCAACCUUGAUGUCUUCUAAGUAGAAGAUGAAGGAUGCUUUGCAGGUGAC
Molecule: long non-coding RNA, 241 nt
Filed under: Homo sapiens (human)
Lineage: Eukaryota; Metazoa; Chordata; Mammalia; Primates; Hominidae
Description: non-protein coding lnc-FSIP1-6:1
Source: RNAcentral